RNAcentral lists this ribosomal RNA (496 nucleotides) under uncultured bacterium. RNAcentral's name for it is "partial 16S ribosomal RNA". It matches the Rfam family "Bacterial small subunit ribosomal RNA", at positions 29 to 507 of the family's 1533-position model. The record is from RNAcentral.
AUUAACGCUGGCGGCGUGCCUAAUACAUGCAAGUCGAGCGAACGGACGAGAAGCUUGCUUCUCUGAUGUUAGCGGCGGACGGGUGAGUAACACGUGGAUAACCUACCUAUAAGACUGGGAUAACUUCGGGAAACCGGAGCUAAUACCGGAUAAUAUUUUGAACCGCAUGGUUCAAAAGUGAAAGACGGUCUUGCUGUCACUUAUAGAUGGAUCCGCGCUGCAUUAGCUAGUUGGUAAGGUAACGGCUUACCAAGGCAACGAUGCAUAGCCGACCUGAGAGGGUGAUCGGCCACACUGGAACUGAGACACGGUCCAGACUCCUACGGGAGGCAGCAGUAGGGAAUCUUCCGCAAUGGGCGAAAGCCUGACGGAGCAACGCCGCGUGAGUGAUGAAGGUCUUCGGAUCGUAAAACUCUGUUAUUAGGGAAGAACAUAUGUGUAAGUAACUGUGCACAUCUUGACGGUACCUAAUCAGAAAGCCACGGCUAACUACGUG